AUGAACCUCACAGUUGGUGCAGACAGCACAGAGGCCGCGGAGCCGGCGGGAGCCGGGCGCGCCGCCGAGCCGCGCGCCAUGGGCAACAUCCAGAAGAAGCUGACGCGCAGGAGCGAGGGCGGCAAGCGGCAGGAGAAGGGCACGCCGCGGCGGGGCCGGGCGCCGGGGGCCGGCGCGGACCGCCCGCGCCCGCCGCCCCGGUGGGCCCCGCCGCCCUGAAGAGCCAGGGCAACGAGCUCUUUCAGAAUGGGCAGUUCUCCGAGGCGGCGCUCAAAUACUCGGCGGCGAUCGCGCAGCUGGAGCCCGCAGGAAGUGGAAGUGCAGCCGAUCUAAGUAUCUUCUAUUCAAAUAGAGCAGCAUGUUACCUCAAAGACGGAAACUGCAGUGGCUGCAUUCAGGAUUGUAACAGGGCCCUGGAACUUCAUCCAUUCUCCAUCAAGCCUCUUUUUCGACGUGCAAUGGCCUAUGAAGCUGUAGAGCAGUAUCAGAAAGCUUACGUGGAUUAUAAAACAGUGUUGCAAAUAGACUGUGGAAUCCAGAUAGCAAAUGACAGUUAACAGGAUAACAAAGAUUUCGAUCGCUCUGGAUGGCCCAAACUGGCGGGAGAAGCUGCCACCCAUUCCUGCUGUGCCCACCUCCGCACAAGUGCGGGCUUGGCGGCCUGCGGCAGAGACGCCCCCAGACCAAGUGGGAGAUUCCUGCCACCAUCCCCAGCCGGGCACACCAGGUGAAAAAGUAUUUAAAACCCUUAAAGAAGAAGGAAAUCAAUGUGUAAAAGACAAAAACUACAAAGAUGCUCUUAGUAAAUACAGUGAAUGCUUAAAGAUUAACAACAAGGAAUGUGCCAUUUAUACAAACAGAAUUAUCAGAAAAGUUUAAACGAUCUCAAUAAAGUUCUCCUACUAGACCCAAGUAUUGUUGAGGCAAAAAUGGAACUGGAAGAGGUAACCAGAAUCCUUAAUAUUAAGGACAAUACAGCAUCAUUCAACAAAGAAAAGGAGAGAAGGAAAAUUGAGAUUCAAGAGGUGAGUGAAGGCCAUCAGGAAGAGUCUGAGAGGACCGUGAAGGAAGCCCCCACGGACGGCCUUGCUUCUGAGAAGGGGGACACCAGUAAUGGGCCACAAGAACUCUAUGAGAAACUGCUGAUCUCCAGGCCUAACAAUGCCUACGAAUUUGGUCAGGUCAUAAACGCCAUCAGUACGAGGAAAGAUCAAGGAGCCUGUGCACACCUGCUAGCCAUCACUGAACCCAAAGAUUUGCCAGUGUUGUUGAGUAACAAACUUGAAGGGGACACGUUCCUCCUCCUCCUCCAGUCUCUGAAAAGUCAUCUUAUUGAUAAAGAUCCCUCCUUGGUGAAUCAGCAUCUUUUAUAUCUGAGCAAAGCAGAAAGGUUUAAGAUGAUGUUGACACUAAUUAGCAAAGACCAAAAGGAGCAGAUGAAGCGGCUCUUUGAUGACCUCUCAGAUGCACCAAACAAACACUUUACUUUAGAAGAUGUGCAGGCCCUCAAAAGGCACUAUGAUGUUUAAAUCAAGAUAAUGGUUAGAUUUCUUCCAUGUAUGUAUGUGUUCCGGUAAUGCCAGUGAGAUGGUAUUGUAAUAGAGUUGCAUGGAUAAAACCUGGCUUAGAAAAGAUCCCUUGGUCUGGACUAUAAAAUAUUUUACUUAUUUUUAUACACAGAACACGUAUAUUCUACAAUCUCCUUUUUAUUAGUUGUAAAUAUUUUCUUAUGUACCAGAGCUAACAUCUUUAUAUUUAAUAAUAAGUAUAUUUGGAACUUGUUAAGAUGCAUUUUAACUUAUACUAUACAUUUUCUCUUAAUGACUUGUUAAAAUUUUGAGUUAAAUUCUACUUCUUUGGGCUAUGAAGCAGUCCUCUUAAGUUUGGUAGAAAUGUCAUUUCUUUAUAGUUCAUUUUUAAAAGUGAAAAUCAUUAACAGUGAUUAUUACAUCACCUUUAUUUCCUGCUAAGAUAUAUAUAAAUCCCAUUUUAUAUUACUUGUGGAUGACAGGCCUCUAAGAUGAAACACAACAUUUAAGUCUAUAAUAGGAAAUGAUUAUUAAAUAAAUUUUGGUUAUUUAGAGCUAUAAGAGGAACGUAUUUUUUCUAAUAGGGAAGUAUUGCCUACUAAUUAAGAACAGAAAUUGCCAAAAAUUCUAUUACUAGAUUUUUGAAGGCUGGUUUCCCUUAUGUGUUGUUUAUAUAAGCAAUAACAGAACAGCCACUGUAUAAAAGCAACCAAGCCUGCAUUUCUAUUUGAAUUGUCACUUGCACAUUUCCCCCAAACAUUUUAAGUUACUUCUCCCUCUUUUGUUCCCUCCUCCUUUAAGCAUGAUCAUAUUUAUUCCCUUAGUGCAAAAGGGAAAAUGAAGAACUCUUUAUAUUGAGAGCUCACUUGUCACUUGGGUCAAAGUAAAGGUAUUUCUUAUAAUAAAACAUUCAGGUCUCUA
Non-coding RNA from Odocoileus virginianus texanus, 2450 nucleotides. NCBI's taxonomy places the organism in Eukaryota, Metazoa, Chordata, Mammalia, Artiodactyla, Cervidae. The record is from RefSeq and is a predicted model, not a curated record.